CGUAGGUAAUUUACCUUCGGGUGGGGAAUAACAGCCGGAAACGGCUGCUAAUACCGCAUAAUGCAGCGGCUCGACAUCGAGACAGUUGUUAAAGCGGGGGAUCCAAAAGACCUCGCGCCUGAAGAGAAGCCUGCGGCAGAUUAGCUAGUUGGUAAGGUAAUGGCUUACCAAGGCGACGAUCUGUAACCGGCCUGAGAGGGCGGUCGGUCACACUGACACUGAUAUACGGGUCAGACUCCUACGGGAGGCAGCAGUCGGGAAUUUUGGGCAAUGGGCGAAAGCCUGACCCAGCAACGCCGCGUGAAGGAUGAAAUCCCUCGGGAUGUAAACUUCGCAAGAAUGGGAAGAAUAAGUAGAGGAUAAUACCCUUUAUGAUGACGGUACCAUUUGUAAGCUCCGGCUAACUUCGUGCCAGCAGCCGCGGUAAUACGAGGGGAGCAAGCGUUGUUCGGAUUUACUGGGCGUAAAGGGCGCGUAGGCGGCCACUGCAAGUCGGUUGUGAAAUCUCCGGGCUUAACCCGGAAAGGUCAAUCGAUACUGCAGGGCUAGAGUGCAGAAGGGGCAACUGGAAUUCUCGGUGUAGCGGUGAAAUGCGUAGAUAUCGAGAGGAACACCUGCGGC
This 621-nucleotide ribosomal RNA is filed under the name uncultured bacterium. RNAcentral describes it as "bacterial SSU rRNA". It matches the Rfam family "Bacterial small subunit ribosomal RNA", at positions 116 to 716 of the family's 1533-position model. The record is from RNAcentral.